Astyanax mexicanus (Mexican tetra) is the source of this 615-nucleotide long non-coding RNA. RefSeq lists it as uncharacterized. The record is from RefSeq and is a predicted model, not a curated record. The transcript is spliced from 2 exons. NCBI's taxonomy places the organism in Eukaryota, Metazoa, Chordata, Actinopteri, Characiformes, Acestrorhamphidae.
AACUCAUUCGAACUCCUCCUAGAGUCUUUGUCAGAUUACAACUAAAUUGUCUGUGGAUAGUCUCCAGACAUACGUGGUGCUAAAUUGCGAAGGAAUAGUCGAUAGCUGAAACGAUGACGUAAUGGCGGGCAAUUGAUUUAAUGGAGACACAACACUAAACCAAAUAGAAACAUUAGCAUGGUCAGAAUACAGCUGCUUGGAAAUUCAUGAAACUUGGCAAAAAUAUAAAAGACAUCAUUACACACGUUUUCAGUGUUGAUAUGAUUGACUCCGCCCAACAGGAAGUCGGCCAUUUUGAAAAACGUGCAUUUUACACACAUUUUUUGCAUACUUUGUCGAACUCCUCCUAGGGAAUUUGUUGAAUACUCUUGAUAUUUGUCAACAAUAAACUACUACCAUCCUUGAUGAUAAAUUGCGAAGGAAUAGUCGAUAUCUUAAACGAGGACGAAAUGGCGGACAGUUGAAUUGCUUGAGAUACCCCAUUAAAAUAGGAAGUAAAUACAUUCUGGUGUUAGUAGGUGUUUGAGGAGGUUAAACAGGUUGAACACUCACGAAACUUUUCAGGCCUGCUUGAUUUAAGCAGUACUUUGAUUAAAAAUUGAAAUUUCAUAUAUA